This 253-nucleotide ribosomal RNA is filed under the name uncultured bacterium. RNAcentral describes it as "partial 16S ribosomal RNA". It matches the Rfam family "Bacterial small subunit ribosomal RNA", at positions 524 to 776 of the family's 1533-position model. The record is from RNAcentral.
UACGUAGGGGGCAAGCGUUGUCCGGAAUCAUUGGGCGUAAAGAGCGUGUAGGCGGCUCGGUAAGUCCGCUCUGAAAGCCCGGGGCUCAACCCCGGGAGGCGGGCGGAUACUGUCGGGCUAGAGUCCGGAAGAGGCGAGUGGAAUUCCUGGUGUAGCGGUGAAAUGCGCAGAUAUCAGGAGGAACACCAAUGGCGAAGGCAGCUCGCUGGGACGGUACUGACGCUGAGGUGCGAAAGCGUGGGGAGCGAACAGG